This 297-nucleotide ribosomal RNA is filed under the name Harpactirella lightfooti. Its description in RNAcentral is "partial 12S ribosomal RNA". The record is from RNAcentral. Lineage: Eukaryota; Metazoa; Arthropoda; Arachnida; Araneae; Theraphosidae.
UUUAACUUUUUUUAAAAGUCUUUAUAUCGCUGUCUUUAGGUGUAAAUUUUAACUUACACCCUCUCAAGUCUCUUUUUACGUCAAGUCGAGAUAAAGCCCAUAAAAAAGGGAGCCGAGUUACUAAUACUUGUAUUUAAGUUUACCACUUUAAAAUCUACUAAAUCUAGGAUUUAAAAGUAAUAAAUUAAUAAUCUUUCUUUAUGAAACAGAAUUUUAGGUGUACAUAUCGCCCGUCACCCUCGUCCAAAGAUGAGGUAAGUCGUAACACAGUUAAUAUACUGGAAAGUGUAUUAAGGG